GGAGAAACCCAGACAGGGAGAGAACAGGAGGUGAAUGAGGCCACAG
Molecule: microRNA precursor, 46 nt
Filed under: Coturnix japonica (Japanese quail)
Lineage: Eukaryota; Metazoa; Chordata; Aves; Galliformes; Phasianidae
Description: miRNA (ENSCJPG00005004369.1)
Source: RNAcentral